CAGCGUCACGAGUGGCAACCAUAUUUAUUGGGCCUAAAGCGUCCGUAGCCUGUUUGAUAAGUCUUUUGUGAAAUCGUUGCGCUCAACGUAACGUUGUGCAAGAGAUACUGUCAGACUUGGAAUUGGGAAGAGUUAGAGGUAUUCUGGGGGGAGCGGUAAAAUGCUAUAAUCCCUGGAGGACCACCAGUGGCGAAAGCGUCUAACUAGAACAACUUCGACGGUGAGGGACGAAAGCCAGGGGAGCAAAACGGAUUAGAUACCCGAGUAGUCC
Molecule: ribosomal RNA, 271 nt
Filed under: uncultured archaeon
Lineage: Archaea
Description: partial 16S ribosomal RNA
Rfam family: Archaeal small subunit ribosomal RNA
Source: RNAcentral